AAAGGUAAGCUACUAAGAGCGAAUGGUGGAUGCCUUGACUGGUAAAGGCGAUGAAGGACGUACUAGACUGCGAUAAGCUACGGGGAGCUGUCAAGAAGCUUUGAUCCGUAGAUUUCCGAAUGGGGCAACCCAAUGUAUAGAGAUAUACAUUACCUAUAUAGGAGCGAACGAGGGGAAUUGAAACAUCUUAGUACCCUCAGGAAAAGAAAUCAAUAGAGAUUGCGUCAGUAGCGGCGAGCGAAAGCGCAAGAGGGCAAACCCAGUGCUUGCACUGGGGGUUGUAGGACUGCAAUGUGCAAGAGCUGAGUUUAGCAGAACAUUCUGGAAAGUAUAGCCAUAGAGGGUGAUAGUCCCGUAUGCGAAAAACAAAGCUUAGCUAGCAGUAUCCUGAGUAGGGCGGGACACGAGGAAUCCUGUCUGAAUCCGGGUCGACCACGAUCCAACCCUAAAUACUAAUACCAGAUCGAUAGUGCACAAGUACCGUGAGGGAAAGGUGAAAAGAACUGAGGUGAUCAGAGUGA
Molecule: ribosomal RNA, 521 nt
Filed under: Campylobacter jejuni
Lineage: Bacteria; Pseudomonadati; Campylobacterota; Epsilonproteobacteria; Campylobacterales; Campylobacteraceae
Description: partial 23S ribosomal RNA
Rfam family: Bacterial large subunit ribosomal RNA
Source: RNAcentral